This 922-nucleotide long non-coding RNA is filed under the name Olea europaea subsp. europaea. The record is from RNAcentral. Lineage: Eukaryota; Viridiplantae; Streptophyta; Magnoliopsida; Lamiales; Oleaceae.
CAAAUAUUUAUGCUACUAUUUCAAAUAUUGUAGCUCAACUAACAUUUUAGAAGAGUCAUUCAUACUUCUUCUUUUUUUUUUUUUAAGACAAAUCUCAUUAACUUUUGUCAUGUAGUUUCGAUGUUCGGGUAGCAUUUGAAACUGAAGCCUUUGUAUCUAGAGAAAAAGUUGACGUCGAAGAAAGAAGUGAAUUUCAUGCUAUAAAUGCUCGUAUUUGAUAUUUAUACAUUUGAUUUCUAAAUAAUUAGACAAUUACAUACUAUCAAUUCUAAUUAUAAUGCAAUCUAUAUACAAUGCACUGGGAGUUACAUUUAGUAAAAGGAAAAGUGAAAUCUGUUUGCAAUUUUGUUUAAUUGGGAGGUUAAUUGAAUCUUGUUGAAAAUCUUUGUGAGUAUUCUUGAUGCGAUCAUCACCCAUAUAUGUUUUGUUUAGUUUGAAUUCGGCUUGUAUUAAUGGGUUUGACCCAAGACAAUUUACUUUCUGGAUUUGUCGAGUUCUCUAUUUACAUAGAUUGGUAAGGUAUUUUCAAAGGAGAUAAUGAUUGAUGAAUGUGAAUGAAAUGCUUCGUUAACAAGUUUUCUCCUGUCUUCCUCCCUAAAUCUCUACUUCUUCGGUCUUCUCCCCACAUUCUCCCGGGUACUCUCCCCUUUCUUGCUUCUCUUCUUCUUCCCUUUCUUCUUCUCUUGUUCUUCUUCUUAUAUUGCUUUUCUCUUUCUCUAUUAAAUAUUUCCAUUGAUAAAUCAUAUUUUCGUAUCAUAGCUAAAACCAGGAUUUUGCUGUUAAAGAAGGUUGAAACUGUAAUUGCUAAAACAACCACCAACAACAACCGCUGACAGCUUCUUUUGGUUAAAAAAAUAAAUAAAUAAAUUAGCUCCUGUUGAGUUUUUGAUACCCAAUAAAUCCCGGGUUAUGAUGUUAACGU